Molecule: long non-coding RNA, 2006 nt
Organism: Rosa rugosa (rugosa rose)
Lineage: Eukaryota; Viridiplantae; Streptophyta; Magnoliopsida; Rosales; Rosaceae
Exons: 8
Source: RefSeq, a predicted model, not a curated record
UCUCUCUCUCUCUCUCUCUCUCUCUAUCUGCCUCACCCGUUGACCCAUUUUCUUUGUGGCUCAUCUCGAAGGUGGACUGAACGGAACUAUGUGACCUUGCUUCUAGUCGUGGCCGGAGGACGUGCAGUCUGCCGUUGACUCGUCGAAGGAAGGCGAAGAAGAUGAUGGCUGUGGUGAGUCCACCUUGGUGGUCCGAGGUCGAUGACGGAGGAAAGAGUCUUCCAGAUCCACUUUCUCUCUCCUCCAUCUCUCUCUCUCUGGAAAGGACGUUGAGUUUCUUUAAUUUUGAUUCUAUGUAGUUUCUGGAUUUCGUUUUGGUUUCCCAAUUUGUCGAUUAAGUGUUAUCCCUAGUUAAUUUGCUUAUCUAGUUGUGCUUGGGGGUUAGGAUUUCUAUUGGAGAGGAAAUUUCUGGUGGUGAAGAAGAGAGGGAAGAAGGAGGAGAAUCCCAAUGUCCAGUGCGCAAAUGCAAAGAGAAAGGCGAUUCGAAAAAGUGUAUGUGUUUGGCGUACGAGAAUCUGAGGGCUCUCAGGAAGAGUUCUUCAAGACCCGACUUGAACCUGAGGGGUUGAAGGAGUCCUACAGGGCCGAUCAGGAAUUCAAGGACGAAAUCUAGAAGGGGUUGCUGAUUCAAGCCAGGGACUUCGAUUUGGGAUGGAAGUCUGGGAAGAUGUGGUCUUAUUUGAUUGCAAAGAGUAAGGAAGGCGGGGUUACUAAUGUUGCCACCAAUGUUCAAUGAUGCCACCAAUGUUCUUCAGAGUUGGGACCCAACUCUGGUCAAUCCCUGCACCUGGUUCCAUGUUACCUGUGAUGCUAAUAACCAUGUGAUCCGUUUGGAUUUGGGCAACUCUAACAUUCUGGGUCUUUGGGGCCAGAGCUUGGGCAGCUGAAGCACCUGGAAUACUUUUCGGAAUGUCAGAUGGUUAUGAAUGUUUUAUGGACAAGAUUGAGUGAGACAGGCAAGGACUGGCGUCUUGUCUAUAAGUUGAAAUUGGGAAAACAUUCAUUGAGGAACAUCUAAAAGGUUGGUGACAUGAAUCAUUUGCCCUCCUCCUUUAUGUUUUUUCAUUCAAGACUUGUGAGAAAAGUUCAGUUCUAAUUCUUCACAUUGCUGUAUUACCUGUUUGAUCAGAAUAUGGAAGGACCAGUCACAUAUACAAUUGGCAUACAGCUUCCUCCAUUUUCUUCUAUUAUAGCUUCUUCACAUAUGCUAUGUAAUGAUUGUUAAACUGGUUAAUGAACCUGUUGCAGUUAUCCUUUCGAUGAGAAUACUCCACUUGUUGAUGAUCCAGAGUACAUCUUUGCAUUAGGUGAAACAAUAUUCAAGGGACUGCAAAGCGGAGAUAAGGAUGGGGUCUGGCUAAUGCAGAUAGAUUUGAUCAAACAGCAAAGCUACUUAGUUUUGGGGGUGAAUUCAUGGGAGGCUUGACAAAGAACAAGGGGUUAUCUGCUUUGCUUAUCAGCGUUGAUUUUUUUCUUCUUUUGGUCAAAGCUGUAGAUUUUUGAGAAUUGUUGAUGAGUACUUGGUGGUUCUUCUUCUUCCAAGGUUUUUCUGAACCCAAGUGUUGAGAAAAACAAGAAGGGGCAAGAGACCUAGAAAGGGAGGCAACCGAUUCUGGAAGAGUAUUGGGCUGCGCACCAAGCCCCACAGGGAUGGGAUGCCUCUUGGGAAAAUCUAAUUAGCAGUCUUGAUGGGAAAAUCUGCAGUUCACUCUUUCAACUACAAACUGAAAGAAGCUUCUUGGGAAAGAGGAAGAAAUUGAGAAAGCCUCCGAAGGGGUAUGAAUUCGUUGGGUUAUUGCCAUGGAGAGAAUUUGUAAAACAGAGGAGUACAGAACAAUGGCUGGUAUGAUGAGUUUGUAUAUGUAGAAGGCUCUCAUUUAUACAUUAUAUAGUAGAGUUACUUUUCUGAAUCAGUAGUUGACUGUAAUAGAAGCUUACUUUCUGGCAAAACUUUUUGAAACUACCUCAAGCUCUAAUUUUGGAUAGAAAUUAAUACAAUUCCUUAA